RNAcentral lists this ribosomal RNA (253 nucleotides) under uncultured bacterium. RNAcentral's name for it is "partial 16S ribosomal RNA". It matches the Rfam family "Bacterial small subunit ribosomal RNA", at positions 524 to 776 of the family's 1533-position model. The record is from RNAcentral.
UACGGAGGGUGCAAGCGUUGCUCGGAAUUAUUGGGCGUAAAGGGUAGGUAGGUGGUCUCGUUUGUCUAGGGUGAAAGCCUUGAGCUUAACUCAAGAAGUGCCUUAGAAACGGCGAGACUAGAGUCCUGGAGAGGGUCGUGGAAUUCCCGGUGUAGCGGUGAAAUGCGUAGAGAUCGGGAGGAACACCAGAGGCGAAAGCGGCGGCCUGGACAGGAACUGACACUCAACUACGAAAGCGUGGGGAGCAAACAGG